Molecule: long non-coding RNA, 285 nt
Organism: Solanum verrucosum
Lineage: Eukaryota; Viridiplantae; Streptophyta; Magnoliopsida; Solanales; Solanaceae
Exons: 3
Source: RefSeq, a predicted model, not a curated record
CCUUGUGCUUAGUGUUGUAAGCUUUUGCAGUGAUCGUCUUUGUGAAAUACAAAUUGUUGAAAAUGGCGAAUCAGCAGCAAGGAUCGAGUCGGCCAUGGAUUCUCGAAGCAUUACCUCUUCUAGUAGUCAUACUAAUCGCUGCUCAUGUUCUCGCUUUGGUGUACUGGAUUUACCGGGUAGCAACUGAGAAACAGCCUCAGAGAAGUAAAAAGCACUAGCAAAUGUAGAUAGAUUGAUUUCAUUUUGCUUCAGCUUGUAGGAAAAUGCAAGGGAUUCAUUCUAUAC